Molecule: long non-coding RNA, 184 nt
Organism: Exaiptasia diaphana
Lineage: Eukaryota; Metazoa; Cnidaria; Anthozoa; Actiniaria; Aiptasiidae
Exons: 3
Source: RefSeq, a predicted model, not a curated record
CAACUUUCAAGAUGGCGGAUAUACAGUUUUUAGUAGAAAAUGUUGAUGAUACGGAAGAAGAUCCUGAUGAUGAAGGUUGCGAUUUAGAACAAGAUGAUCCUUCUGUACUUGAUGAAAUAAACCCAGAAGAAUUACUCAGUCCUAUUGUAAGAAUGGAGAAAUACAUGCAUAGUGAUGUGAUAUU